GGCGUGCUUAACACAUGCAAGUCGAACGGUGAACACGGAGCUUGCUCUGUGGGAUCAGUGGCGAACGGGUGAGUAACACGUGAGCAACCUGCCCCUGACUCUGGGAUAAGCGCUGGAAACGGCGUCUAAUACUGGAUAUGUGACGUGACCGCAUGGUCUGCGUCUGGAAAGAAUUUCGGUUGGGGAUGGGCUCGCGGCCUAUCAGCUUGUUGGUGAGGUAAUGGCUCACCAAGGCGUCGACGGGUAGCCGGCCUGAGAGGGUGACCGGCCACACUGGGACUGAGACACGGCCCAGACUCCUACGGGAGGCAGCAGUGGGGAAUAUUGCACAAUGGGCGCAAGCCUGAUGCAGCAACGCCGCGUGAGGGACGACGGCCUUCGGGUUGUAAACCUCUUUUAGCAGGGAAGAAGCGAAAGUGACGGUACCUGCAGAAAAAGCGCCGGCUAACUACGUGCCAGCAGCCGCGGUAAUACGUAGGGCGCAAGCGUUAUCCGGAAUUAUUGGGCGUAAAGAGCUCGUAGGCGGUUUGUCGCGUCUGCUGUGAAAUCCGGAGGCUCAACCUCCGGCCUGCAGUGGGUACGGGCAGACUAGAGUGCGGUAGGGGAGAUUGGAAUUCCUGGUGUAGCGGUGGAAUGCGCAGAUAUCAGGAGGAACACCGAUGGCGAAGGCAGAUCUCUGGGCCGUAACUGACGCUGAGGAGCGAAAGGGUGGGGAGCAAACAGGCUUAGAUACCCUGGUAGUCCACCCCGUAAACGUUGGGAACUAGUUGUGGGGUCCAUUCCACGGAUUCCGUGACGCAGCUAACGCAUUAAGUUCCCCGCCUGGGGAGUACGGCCGCAAGGCUAAAACUCAAAGGAAU
RNAcentral lists this ribosomal RNA (860 nucleotides) under Microbacterium maritypicum. RNAcentral's name for it is "bacterial SSU rRNA". It matches the Rfam family "Bacterial small subunit ribosomal RNA", at positions 41 to 910 of the family's 1533-position model. Lineage: Bacteria; Bacillati; Actinomycetota; Actinomycetes; Micrococcales; Microbacteriaceae. The record is from RNAcentral.